AUGGCCGAACCAAUAUCUUCCUGCAGAUUGGAAGUCGAUGACGAGAUGGACAUACGCAUAUCGGCCGAGGAACUUCUUCCGGAGCUCGAAUCCUACGUGCAGGUGCUCAAAGAAGUGAAGGCAGGCAGACACACGAUCAACUUCCACUCCAAGACGCGUAUUCAAGAGUUGUCGGUAAUGUGCCGCAAAAUAAAUGAAGCGAUUCGUAGCAUGCACAUUCUUCCCCGCAGCCCUGCUGGCAUCCAGCAUGGUGAUCAGCACAUGGAGCUGGAGGUGAACAAGCAGAAGCAGACGAUGGAGGACGAUAUGGACUUAGGCGAAUCGGCCCAAGAAUUAACCAUGGAGGAGGUCAUGGCGGCCGAGGAAGAGGAUUUCGCUUCCUACAGAAGUGGCUGGGAAUCUAGAUGGGGAUCCAAGGGGGGAUGCGGCUUCUUCAAAGGCACGAUUCUUGUUAGAUUUCUAACGCAUUCUUCACUUUGGUGCUUCCAUGCAACGCAAUUGAGUUCCAUGCGCUUCACAUACUCGACACCUAAACCCAGCUUAGACGAUGGUAUCGUCGUGAAUACCUUGCAGAUCUUCUCCAUUAAACUCACAGAAAUUAAAGGCGGCUUCGAAUGGCCAUUGUCUGUGUAUGGUGUAGUUGUUGCCCGGGACCAUGUUGAUCACAAUCGCAACCUUCUCUUCCGUCGCAGUAGGGCAAGGACCCAAAUAGUCCGGCAAAACGAUCCUUUUUUGCACUUGAUUGGGCCAUCUCGUGCGAUCCUAUUCAAUGAUCCUGUUGACUUUGAAAUUCAGCUAAAAGUUAAAUGUGGAGCCAUGUCUAGAGAUAGAGAAUUGAUCAGCAAGACGCACUGUUAUCGUGCACGUCAUCAUGGUGUGCAUACCGUUUGCUUUGAGAACCGCUUAUGUAAAAUAGAGUUGUGCAUGGAGCUGCUUGUGGCGACAAUCCAGGCCACAAUCUGCAGCAUCCGUGUUGUUAAACAGGGGAUACGGCAGCGUGUUGAACGUCGAUGCCGAGUAGCUUGCUCGACAGCACCCUACUCACGCAAGAUCAUCAACGGUAAAACCACUUAUGUUGCUAAUGCCUCAUCUGGUGAAGUCGUGCUGCUUGAUCCUGGUAGACAUGCAACACCUGAAGGUUCGGAAGGUUACCUUGAUCUGUCAAGGCGUGUGGUGUCUGUAGAACAUGAAGAAGGCAACCUGGAACUCGUCGUACAGGCCUACUCAUCAUCCGGAGAUAUCACUGCACAAGGGCACGUCUCCUUGGCACCCAGAUCUUUUGGCUUCAGUCAGAAGAAAUUCUAUGUUGAUGAUGCUGUGCUAGAGAUUACCGUUGCUUGGUCUUUCCUUGUAGCAAACAAGGAUACUCUUGUGAGACCUGUGGGUUUUUGA
RNAcentral lists this ribosomal RNA (1392 nucleotides) under Triticum aestivum (bread wheat). Its description in RNAcentral is "partial small subunit ribosomal RNA". Lineage: Eukaryota; Viridiplantae; Streptophyta; Magnoliopsida; Poales; Poaceae. The record is from RNAcentral.